RNAcentral lists this ribosomal RNA (405 nucleotides) under uncultured bacterium. RNAcentral's name for it is "bacterial SSU rRNA". It matches the Rfam family "Bacterial small subunit ribosomal RNA", at positions 370 to 772 of the family's 1533-position model. The record is from RNAcentral.
AAUGGGCGAGAGCCUGAACCAGCCAAGUAGCGUGAGGGAUGACUGCCCUAUGGGUUGUAAACCUCUUUUAUAAGGGAAUAAAACGCUCCACGUGUGGAGCUUUGCAUAUACCUUUUGAAUAAGGAUCGGCUAACUCCGUGCCAGCAGCCGCGGUAAUACGGAGGAUCCGAGCGUUAUCCGGAUUUAUUGGGUUUAAAGGGUGCGUAGGCGGACUGAUAAGUCAGCUGUGAAAGUUUGCGGCUCAACCGUAAAAUUGCAGUUGAAACUGUUAGUCUUGAGUGUACAUAAGGUAGGCGGAAUUCGUGGUGUAGCGGUGAAAUGCUUAGAUAUCACGAAGAACUCCAAUUGCGAAGGCAGCUUACCGGGGUUCAACUGACGCUGAGGCACGAAAGCGUGGGUAUCAAA